UGGGGUAUCGCCAAGCGGUAAGGCACCAGGUUUUGAUCCUGGCAUCCCCUGGUUCGAAUCCAGGUACCCCAGCCA
Molecule: transfer RNA, 75 nt
Filed under: Xenorhabdus griffiniae
Lineage: Bacteria; Pseudomonadati; Pseudomonadota; Gammaproteobacteria; Enterobacterales; Morganellaceae
Also listed under: 3 other names
Description: tRNA-Gln
Rfam family: tRNA
About the family: Transfer RNA (tRNA) molecules are approximately 80 nucleotides in length.
Source: RNAcentral